This 253-nucleotide ribosomal RNA is filed under the name uncultured bacterium. RNAcentral describes it as "partial 16S ribosomal RNA". It matches the Rfam family "Bacterial small subunit ribosomal RNA", at positions 524 to 776 of the family's 1533-position model. The record is from RNAcentral.
UACGGAGGGUGCAAGCGUUAUCCGGAUUCACUGGGUUUAAAGGGAGCGUAGGUGGGGUGGUCAGUCAGUGGUGAAAUCUCCGGGCUUAACUCGGAAACUGCCGUUGAUACUAUCAUUCUUGAAUAUUGUGGAGGUAAGCGGAAUAUGUCAUGUAGCGGUGAAAUGCUUAGAUAUGACAGAGAACACCGAUAGCGAAGGCAGCUUGCUACACAAUUAUUGACACGGAGGCUCGAAAGCGUGGGGAUCAAACAGG